Molecule: ribosomal RNA, 497 nt
Filed under: uncultured bacterium
Lineage: Bacteria
Description: partial 16S ribosomal RNA
Rfam family: Bacterial small subunit ribosomal RNA
Source: RNAcentral
GAUGAACGCUGGCGGCGUGCCUAAUACAUGCAAGUCGAGCGAACAGACGAGGAGCUUGCUCCUCUGACGUUAGCGGCGGACGGGUGAGUAACACGUGGAUAACCUACCUAUAAUUCUGGGAUAACUUCGGGAAACCGGAGCUAAUACCGGAUAAUAUAUUGAACCGCAUGGUUCAAUAGUGAAAGACGGUUUUGCUGUCUCUUAUAGAUGGAUCCGCGCCGCAUUAGCUAGUUGGUAAGGUAACGGCUUACCAAGGCAACGAUGCGUAGCCGACCUGAGAGGGUGAUCGGCCACACUGGAACUGAGACACGGUCCAGACUCCUACGGGAGGCAGCAGUAGGGAAUCUUCCGCAAUGGGCGAAAGCCUGACGGAGCAACGCCGCGUGAGUGAUGAAGGUCUUCGGAUCGUAAAACUCUGUUAUUAGGGAAGAACAAAUGUGUAAGUAACUAUGCACGUCUUGACGGUACCUAAUCAGAAAGCAACGGCUAACUACGUG